CCCAACAAGUGGGGUGCAAGCCGUGAGGGGUUCUCGUCUGUAGUGGACGAAAGCCGGGUGCACGACAACAAGCAAAGCCAGACACACUAUUGGGUCCUGAGGCAACACUCGGGCUCUGUUCGAGAGUUGUCCCACCAUCUUGGUGGUGGGGUGUGGUGUUUGAGAAUUGGAUAGUGGUUGCGAGCAUCAAAUGGAUGCGUUGCCCUACGGGUAGCGUGUUCUUUUGUGCAAUUUUAUUCUUUGGUUUUUGUGUUUGUAAGUGUCUAAG
This 268-nucleotide unclassified non-coding RNA is filed under the name Mycobacterium kansasii. RNAcentral's name for it is "partial 16S-23S ribosomal RNA intergenic spacer". The record is from RNAcentral. Lineage: Bacteria; Bacillati; Actinomycetota; Actinomycetes; Mycobacteriales; Mycobacteriaceae.